RNAcentral lists this long non-coding RNA (413 nucleotides) under Citrus x clementina. RNAcentral's name for it is "Citrus clementina (C. clementina) long non-coding RNA (CCLE_LNC000759)". Lineage: Eukaryota; Viridiplantae; Streptophyta; Magnoliopsida; Sapindales; Rutaceae. The record is from RNAcentral.
UAGCUGCUGGUGAUGUUGUGGCUGAAACUAGAAGACAAGAACUUGAAAUCAUCAUUGGUGGAGGUGGCUAUGGUCCUGCUCCUGCUCCUGAAUAUUGCCCUCCUCCUCCUCCCCCUCCUGAACCCAUAUGUCCGCCUCCUCCGCCUCCUGAACCCAUAUGUCCAACUCCUCCGCCUCCGCCGCCUCCGCCGCCUCCUCCGCCUCCGCCGCCUCCUCCGCCUCCUCCGCCUCCUCCGCCUCCUCCGCCUCCUCCACCUCCUCCGCUUCCGCCUCCGCCAAAACCCCCUAGCCCAUCUGUUCCCUUUGCCAGCGAUCGAAUCCAACUUGCAUUCAAAGUAAUUCAAAGAUUCAAAAAGAGAAUCACUUAUGAUCCACAAGGAAUAGCAAAGACAUGGGUGGGUCCUGAUGUUUGC